CUGCUUGCAACAUGCAUCCCUUUGUUGCCUUCUUCGGCUGCUCUUUUCCUUCCCGCCUCUUUGAUUUAAGCACACUGGAACACAGCCUUCAGCCCAGAGCCGUGUGUUGCACUAGAGCCCUGAAACAUCUUUCCACCACAAACCACACUCUGUCCAGAUAAUCCAGUAAGUAAAAGUUUAUUCAGAAAAGAGUAUAUAAAAAUAAGCAAAUCUAGAUUCUAAAAUCCUUUCAAAUACAGUCUCAAGAGUUUACUCACAGAUUUAUCCAUAAACAUGAUAGCAUGAAUCAAAGGCAGGCAACCUAUGCCACACAUGAACUAGAAACAGGAAAGUUGAAUACAUGAAUCCAAAAACAUAGAAUCAGGAACCAAGAGCUGUUCACCUGAAUACAACGUUGCUCUCACAAAGGAUUCUACCAGCAGAAAACUAUUUAACAGUCCUCAAUUCCUUCCAUGACAUCAUUCCUCACACACCUGCUUUUCCUCUCCUUAUCUCUAAGCUGUUGGGAAAAGAAAAUCUGUCUCUGUUGUAUGCUCUGCCUCUGAAGUUUCAAGUUUCUUAAUCUGGAAAAACAUUUGUCACCCACAUUUCUUUCAGCUGGCACUUCUGGAAGAUUCUCACUGGAACUGAUAUCGCUUUCUCCAGUUUGAUGGGAACUGCCAGGAAAUUCCAAAACAAUUCUCUUCAUAUCACUGAUAUCCUCUUCUGGGCACUCCGAAUCUAUCCCAGCAUCCCCUUCCUCAUCGUCUGAGCACUCAGAACACCCUGGGCGGUUCAAAGGUUUAUUAUUGUUCCAUAGUAAUUAUAAGAUACUCACUCAGGUGGUCGCAGUGGGAGAUCCAUGAUAAAAGAGUGACCACAUGGUCUCAGCUACUGUAUGUAAUAGACUGUUAUCUACAGUUACCCCCCAUUGAGAUGGUGCUAAAACACUAGAUGUGUUGUUUUGGCCUGGCCUCUCUUGACAUCCACUCAGGCAUCUUAACCAUUGAUGAAUUGCUAGCCAUAUGUUUUAAAGAUGAUUUUUCCUGAUGUAUAUAACUCCACCACUUUAUUCAUACUUCCAAGUACUAACUAGGCCUGUGUUGCAACACAGACUCCUUAAAAUGCCAGACCAGAUGUUAGUAAAAAUACAGUUUAUUAGUUCACAACCAAAAGGAGCCCAAAAACAAACUCAAAAGGCUCAGAACACUUAAUCUUCAGUGUGAAACACAGAAUUCCCAGCAAACAGCACAAAACCCCAGACCCUUGAAAAUAACCCAGAUUAAACCGGAGUAUAAUCCUGUUUAAAAACAAACUUUGUAAAACAACAAAGAAGACACUCCAGUUCCUUGCAGGACGUCAGCAGGCAGGAAUUAACGACCAGCAGGGGGCCGAAAACAUCUGUCGAAGUCACCCAAACACAAUGUCGAUGUCGGUGAGUCCAAUCCGGGUCAGAGAAGGAGAGGUCAGCAACACGAAAUCCAGUCCAGGUCAGAGAAGGAGAAGGCAGCAAUAUGAAAUCCAGUCCAGAUCAUACACAGAGCCAAAGCAUAGAAUGCAGCACGGCAAGUUCACAGAAGUCUUCCCAAAGUACGUCUUCCCAAACAGCUCACAUGGACACAUGAACACCCAACAACACUUUGCCGACUGCAAAGGUGAUUCAUUUCCAAAACCCACUUUUAUUCACAAAUCAUCCUCAGAACUAGAAUCAGCCAACACCCUGCUAGCAGCUGCAGCCUGUUGCCUCAAUUCCUCCUCAGAGCUAGAAUCAGACAAUGCCCCACCAGACCUCCUUUCAGCUGAAGCCCCUUGCCGAUCCCUCCACCCAGUCCAUCUUUUAUCCAAACCCAUAAUUCCCCAAGACCCAGCUGGAUCCCCACUGUGCCAAUCCUCAAACGUGUCGCCACUUGUGGGUUCUCUAAAGAUGUCCUGGAUCUCUUGCACCUUAGUCCAGUCCAUUAACUCAUCCUCUGAACUUGUCAUCCCAUCCUCCUGAUUCUCAACCCCAUCAUCCCCCUCAAAGCCCUCAAAUGAGUCAUCAUCAGUAGGCUCCAUAAGUAUUUUCUGGAUCCGCUUCCUUUGUUGCUCCUCAUCGGAGUCUUGCUCACGAGUAGUCUUUCUUCAUUUUCUAGUGCACCUAGUAGUAUCAUUACUCAAAGACUCCAUCACAACAGCCUGUUCCUGUCGAGAUAGGGCAGUUUCCAUACUUGGGAAAGUUCCAGGAUCCCAGGGUCUCAUUAUGAUCUGACAAUGAUGUGAUGUACUUUGACAAACAUAAAGUAUGGACAAUCUAUGCCUUAUGAAUGGAAAGCAGAAGCUAUCUCGAACACUACUUCUUUAGCCAUGAAGGACAUGUUUGCCACAAGUCUUCUUGAGUCAUCUGGAUGCUUCAGUGCAGAUAAACGACUCAUGUCAAAGAGCCGCUCAUUUUAUCAGUCUUGGAAAGAGUGUUUUGAUGACAUAGUCAUGAAUAAUAUCUGCUUAAAGCUAUAUUUGUUCCCUUGGUUUCAUUUUUCUGAGGUGAUUAGCUGUUUGAGGAACUGGGGGAAAAAGAAAUACAUCCAAAAAAGGCUAAAUGUUUUUUUCAUUUCUUUGUAACAAGUUUUCUUUCCUCUGUAUGUUCAGAGUGAGAUAAGGUUUUCUUUGCAUAAGAAAUAUACUUGGCCAUCUGUUUCUUGGAUUCUUCUGAAUUUAUCAUGUUUCACUGUUGUGAUCAAAGGAAAAGGAGGCAUGUGACACUGAAUGGAAAUCAGUAGUGUAGAUGUUUCAGGGCCCUGACAUAACUAUACAUUUAAAAUUUCAUCAUUAAAUUCACAUUUACAAACACACAUGCCUGGCACCCCUUGGGGAAAACAUCAAUUCUCUGCAUAUACUUUUGUCUAUAGAAUAAGGCAAAAUUUCUUCUACAAAAUCUGAUUUUUUUUAGAGCAUUGUAAAAUGAUAAUUGAUCUGCUGCAGGAGGAGGAAUUUUAUUAAUUAUUUACAUGGUAUGUAAUUGCUUCUCUGAAGAAUUUUUCUAUGGUCCAUAAAACCUGCCCCCCCCAUGUGAUCUUAAUCCUGUUUCUUAAAUAUGACCUCUCAUAGGUUUUUGCAGAUUAAUUCUGUGAGGAGACAGAUAUUAUCAACAUGUUAUCAAUCCACAGCAGGCCUGGUGCUUAGAAACAGGGCGAGUGAGUCAUCAGUGUGAAAACAGAGGAUCCAGGUCAGUCGUGUUGUAUUAUAGCAAUAUUCAGAUGGCACCUCUACACAGACAGAACUGUCUGCUCCACUUUGGCAUUUAUGCUGUGCUUUCACCAAUUUUUUUGUUCUGUUGAUUUAACCCCUUGGGGACUUUCUAAUUGCAUGAAAGAUAAUACAUUCUAUGCACAUUCCUCUGCGUGUGCCAUUCCUAUGGGUGAGAGAGCACUGGAGACUUCUAGCAUUAUAACAUUUGUUUUAUUUACAAAAAAUAUACAAGGAUGCUAUGUGUGAAUCAACACUCUAGAAUUAAUGCAGUUUAACCAUACAGCGAUACCUUGACUUAAGAGUGUAAUUUGUUCUGUGAUCAAGCUUUUAACUUAAAAUGCUCUUAUCGCAAAGCAAAUUUCCCAUUGAAAUGCAAUCAACACAUUCUGGUCCCUGACCCCCCCCCCCUAUUUUUUAAAACAUGUUUUUAAAUAAGAACAUGUACUUUAUAAAUUGCAAAUAAUACAUUCACAAUGAACAAUUUUAAAGAUCAGUUUUAAAAUGGUAAAAGCACAAAGUUGUAGCA
Molecule: long non-coding RNA, 3730 nt
Organism: Anolis carolinensis (green anole)
Lineage: Eukaryota; Metazoa; Chordata; Lepidosauria; Squamata; Anolidae
Exons: 3
Source: RefSeq, a predicted model, not a curated record